AUACGUAGGUGGCAAGCGUUGUCCGGAUUUACUGGGUGUAAAGGGCGUGUAGCCGGGAAGGCAAGUCAGAUGUGAAAUCCACGGGCUCAACUCGUGAACUGCAUUUGAAACUGUUUUUCUUGAGUAUCGGAGAGGCAAUCGGAAUUCCUAGUGUAGCGGUGAAAUGCGUAGAUAUUAGGAGGUACACCAGUGGCGAAGGCGGCCUGCUGGACGACAACUGACGCUGAGGCGCGAAAGCGUGGGGAGC
RNAcentral lists this ribosomal RNA (247 nucleotides) under uncultured bacterium. RNAcentral's name for it is "partial 16S ribosomal RNA". It matches the Rfam family "Bacterial small subunit ribosomal RNA", at positions 523 to 769 of the family's 1533-position model. The record is from RNAcentral.